UACGAGGGGGCUAGCGUUGUUCGGAAUUCCUGGGCGUAAAGGGCGCGUAGGCGGCGUGUCAAGUCAGGCGUGAAAGCCCCCGGCUCAACCGGGGAGGGUGGCUGGAAACUGUCGUUCUUGAGGGCGAGAGAGGAGGGUGGAAUUCCUGGUGUAGCGGUGAAAUGCGUAGAGAUCAGGAGGAACACCCGUGGCGAAGGCGGCCCUCUGGCUCGACCCUGACGCUGAGGCGCGAAAGCGUGGGGAGCGAACGGG
This 252-nucleotide ribosomal RNA is filed under the name uncultured bacterium. RNAcentral describes it as "partial 16S ribosomal RNA". It matches the Rfam family "Bacterial small subunit ribosomal RNA", at positions 524 to 776 of the family's 1533-position model. The record is from RNAcentral.